This is a long non-coding RNA of Chrysemys picta bellii (western painted turtle), 1063 nucleotides long. The record is from Ensembl. Lineage: Eukaryota; Metazoa; Chordata; Testudines; Emydidae.
UCUGUUAGUCUUAAAGGUGCCACAAGACUCUCUGAUGCUAUAUGGGCAUAGUGAUUAAAACACUAAUUACAUAUUAGAGAAGAUGCAACUUAGGAUGUUUUUUUGUUAUUUUAAUUUUAUGCAAAGGAUUACACUCAAUUAAAAUUGGCUUUGUAAAUACACAUACACUCACUCACACAAUUAGUCAUUUUUUAAUGGGGGAGAGCUAAUUCAUACAAAUAAAAAACAUUAUUGAAAACCUGUCCAAAAGAGCUUGUGUCAUUAAAAAAUUUAAAUAGGCCACAGUCAACUUAAAAAUCACAAUUCUACCCCAAAAUGUUGUAACUACUAUUGUUAUAAGUAAACCUUAAUAUUACUGUAACUGAAAGAGAUUAGAGGAAAAAAGUAUUUAUUUUCAGUUUGUUUACUUUGUAAACUGGAUGUAGUCAGUUUCACCAUUUCCCCCUAUUGUUUGUAUGGUGUUUUGUGCAGCAACAGGGGAGAGAAAAACAUUUCUUUAAACAAAUGAAAAUGUGAUCACAAACCACAAAAAUCUGCAGGGGAAUUCAGCGAUAAAUGUAGUAUCAACUCAGGCGCAGCUGUAAAAAUUACUUUUAAUUAUUUUUUGACCUAACUGAAAAAAUACAUAUAUCAAGAUUAGCUUUCAUUUAUUUUUUAAAUACCAAGAACAUGAGUUCUACCAUUUAGUAAUCUGCCAUGACCUUCUAUUUACAGCCAAGUUAGGAGGACUCAAAAGAGUGACUUUCUUUUCUUUCUCCCACAAUCAUAGUGAUGCUAGCCUGCCUUUAUUAAUGGGUGCAUUGCCAUUGGAUGGAGCCCCUAGGACAGCAUCUGGUCACUUAACUCCAGGACCAACUCCCGGACCUACUCCUGAAAAGAUGAGACAAGGGUUGACAAAACAAGAAGACUCAGAAGAUAAAUCUGUUUUUUAUAUCAAGAAGCACUACAUGGUGCCAUGAAGUUUGGCUGACACAUGGAAUUAGCCUAGAGAGGAUCAGGUAAAUGGUUACUUUUCCCAGUAUACAGCAUCACUUUGCAAAGUUUGAUUAUUUUAAUUGGUGCA